UCGGGGCCCCGCCCCGUUUAUUCCUUUUUCGGUUUAGAGUUGGGCUGGUCAGGAUGAACGCUAGCGGGAGGCCUAACACAUGCAAGCCGAGCGGUAGAGAUCUUUCGGGAUCUUGAGAGCGGCGUACGGGUGCGGAACACGUGUGCAACCUGCCUUUAUCUGGGGGAUAGCCUUUCGAAAGGAAGAUUAAUACCCCAUAAUAUACUGGAUGGCAUCAUUCGGUAUUGAAAACUCCGGUGGAUAGAGAUGGGCACGCGCAAGAUUAGAUAGUUGGUGAGGUAACGGCUCACCAAGUCUGCGAUCUUUAGGGGGCCUGAGAGGGUGAUCCCCCACACUGGUACUGAGACACGGACCAGACUCCUACGGGAGGCAGCAGUGAGGAAUAUUGGACAAUGGGUGAGAGCCUGAUCCAGCCAUCCCGCGUGAAGGACGACGGCCCUAUGGGUUGUAAACUUCUUUUGUAUAGGGAUAAACCUACCCUCGUGAGGGUAGCUGAAGGUACUAUACGAAUAAGCACCGGCUAACUCCGUGCCAGCAGCCGCGGUAAUACGGAGGGUGCAAGCGUUAUCCGGAUUUAUUGGGUUUAAAGGGUCCGUAGGCGGAUCUGUAAGUCAGUGGUGAAAUCUCACAGCUUAACUGUGAAACUGCCAUUGAUACUGCAGGUCUUGAGUGUUGUUGAAGUAGCUGGAAUAAGUAGUGUAGCGGUGAAAUGCAUAGAUAUUACUUAGAACACCAAUUGCGAAGGCAGGUUACUAAGCAACAACUGACGCUGAUGGAAGAAAGCGUGGGGAGCGAACAGGAUUAGAUACCCUGGUAGUCCACGCCGUAAACGAUGCUAACUCGUUUGUGGAGCGCAAGCUUCAGAGACUAAGCGAAAGUGAUAAGUAGCCACAUGGAGACA
This 901-nucleotide ribosomal RNA is filed under the name Chryseobacterium sp. RNAcentral's name for it is "bacterial SSU rRNA". It matches the Rfam family "Bacterial small subunit ribosomal RNA", at positions 1 to 881 of the family's 1533-position model. The record is from RNAcentral. Lineage: Bacteria; Pseudomonadati; Bacteroidota; Flavobacteriia; Flavobacteriales; Weeksellaceae.